GACCGACAGACUGCGUGAGACCCAGUUGCGGGCAAUAGCGUCUUACACUUUCCCAAAGACAAAUACACAAGCGAUUCGCCGUAGUCUAAUCGAUCACGGAGGACACAGCCAAUGACGGAGCUCUCGGUGGGAGAAAAUCUUCGAGUCAAUCCUAAACAAAGGAUUUUUUUUUUUUUUUGAGGUGUUCGCUCCAAUGAUUAUUUUAGCAGUCCAUUUAUAUUUUAAUAUAUAACUAAAAUACUUUAAAACACCAUUAAUUGUUCUCAUUACCGAAUUUAACCAUUGUUUUUCUACAUAUUUUCAAAAAUAAAAAGAAUUAAAGAGAAAGGGAUUAAAAUGGAGUGACAAGAGAAGAUGAAGGACUACACAACAGAAUGACCAUUAAGGUUUUGACCAUUUUACUUUGAAUAAAAUUCUUUAAAAGAAUUGACGUGAAGGUUGAAAACAGGGAGUGAAAAGGAGGCAAUCCUGGGCCAUAAAAACUGUGACCAUUUUACUUUUGAAUAAAAUAAAACAACAAUUUUCUUUUGCUUCAUCUUCUCCCUUCAGCUCACUCCACGCGAUUUUCAGCUUAGCUCAAAACCACCCAUGGCAGCCAACAAACUUUCCCUCUUCCACUAACCCAGCAGGGACUCCACAACUGGAAACGAGGGCUAUAAUCUGGCAGGGGCUUCCCAAAUUAGCUGAUCUGGAUCCCUAACAGCACACACACGACUGGAAGCUAAAAGGGAAGCUAAUUAAUCACCUGGGCAGGACUGGGACAAUCAAAGGCAGCUUCUUCUUCUUCAGGGCAAGGUGCUUCGAGAUCUGAUGUUGCUCUGUUUUCUCGCAUCAGUUUUUAAAGAGGAAGGGGUAAGUGCAGAUAGCCUUUGGCCUAAUAGCAUUUCAUUUGAAAUGCUAUUUUACCUGUUGAUAUAGCAACCCCGAUGGAGUUGCUAAUAUGAGAGGAAAAAAAAAGCUAGCAUGACCGUUAUUUUCUUUUAGCUUCCUUUGUUUUCCGUACCUAGACUCUUUUUUUUAUUUUUAGUUUUUAUAUAAUCAAAUUGAAAGUCAAUUUAAAUAAAUUAUUUAAGAAAUAUAAAUAUUAAAAAAGGACUAAAAUGAAAAAGAAAAUCAGUGUGAAAAUUUCAUUUUGAUCCUUCUAAUUUCAAAAUUUAAAGUUGUGACUUGUGAGAGGCUAUCAAUGAGCUUAUUCUGUAUCUAUAGAAUUUUAUAGUUGUUUUUUUUAUCGAAAAUAAAUUAAAAGUUGAUAUUUUUACCAAAAAAUAUCUCGGCGUGAGCGUGACCCUUCAUUCGCUGAAUUUAAGACUGUAGAUGAAGUUAUUUAAUAAUUUUUUAAAAAAAAUGAAAGGCCCUUUUAAUAUAAAAUAAAUUAAGAGAUUUAGUAGGUAAGCCAUGUUUUUUUUUUGGGCCAAGCACGCAAACCCCCCACGCAAACUUGAUUUAUUUUAUUUUUAUUCCUUUUCCUUGUUUUUACAAUCUGAUGAAAAGAGUGUUUAGCAGUGUAGUAUUGGUUAUUUUUAAAAAAAAAUUUAUAUUAAAAUAUAUGUUAAUGAUUUUUUUUUAUUUUUUAAAAAUUAUUUUUGAUAUCAGCACAUCAAAACGAUCCAAAACAUACAAACCAUAUUAAAUUUUAAUAAAAAAAAAUUUAAAAUAUUUUGGAAAUGCGGUUUGCAUUGCUUUUCCAAACACAUUCGAAAUCAAAUAGAUUGGUAAAAAAAUAAUUUGAUUUUUUUAUUGAAUAUCAUUGAAAUUCUAUUUUAUUUUAUAAAAUUAUAGUUUUUUUUAUAUUAGCGUGUAAAUAUAAGGUGUGAAAAUCAACCCAGUUCAUACGGCGGAGUGUGGUGAUUAAUCAUGUAAUUUUUAUUCUGAUUUUUUUUUUUUAAUGCUAUGCCAUUAUUGUUACUUUGUUUGGAGUGGAAAAGUAUUUUUGGCGGUAGAUGUAUUAGCUCAAGCUUAUGCAAGUAUAUUCAUAAAGUUAUAACAAAAGCACGAAGAUUAUUACUGAGUUUGAUAAUAUGAUGUAUAGUGUUGUUUAAAAGUAUUGUUUUAGUUAAAAAUAUAUUAGAAUAAUAUGUUUUGUAAUUUUUUUAUUUUUAACAUUAAUUUAUUAGAAUUAUUAAAAAAUACCUAAAAAAUAUUUAUGCAAAAAAAUUGAAAAGUAACAACCACAAUACUAGGCACUAAAUAAUUGUACGGUGAUGGUUGCUUUUCAAAAUAUUUUUUACUUGAAAAUGCAUUAAUUUUUUUAUAAAAAAAUAAUUAUUUUUGAUAUCAUUACAUCAAAACAAUCCAAAAAUAUAAAAAAUAUUAAAUUCAAGCAAAUUAAAAUAUUAAAAAAAUUAUUUUAACCGCAAAAACAAACCCUCCCUAGGAUUUAACAAGUUUUUAAAGAUAGGUGUUUAAUUUUGGUUUAAAUAAUAGCUCUACGUACUUUAAAAUGGGUUUAAGUGGCUAGUAGUUAGUGUUGUUAAGAGCGAUUAGAAACAUAACUUAAGUCUAACCUCGUAAAUAAUUUAAUUAAUAAGUUCAUCAUAACAAAUGUAAGACACUAAUCUAGUCAUCUCAAAACUUGGUACGAGGUCCUCUAGGAAUAUUCCCAAGAAGGCAACUAACUAUUUAUGGGCCUUCUCAGAUUGAGAAAGUGCAACCUUUAACUUAUUCUCCUUUCAGUUUUCUAUUUCUCAAAACUGGAUCCAGUGGGCCUGGGUCCAAUGAGAACAAGACUGGGCUCGCCAGCUCUUUGUAACUGGGCUGCACAAGUUGGAUCACAAUCUUCUUUCCGAAAAGAAUUGGAUGCCUAAAGGCUAAAACCUAGAGCUCUUUUCAAAUCCAAAUCUAAAAUAAUGCGAUUGCAAGAUCAUUUUUAGAGGUAUUCUGGAAUCAUUUCUCUGUGAUGAAGCACAUAUCGUACAAAAAUAAGAGAAAAUUAAGGUUACUUAAUGAAUAUUGAUUUUCAACGUUAUUUUCUCAUUAUUAUUAUUAUUAUUAUUACAGCAAAUCAUAAGGGUUAGGGUCUGAUUUAUUUUUUGUGCGAGAUCUGAGAUGUUCAAUUCUAUUUAAGAUUCAAUUCCUAUUUUAAGAAAUAUUUCAAUCAUGAGAGUUGAUGAACCUCUUAAUUAAAUCCAAUUCUAUUCAAAAGGUUACAAACAAUCUAUUAAUAUAUGCUUUUGCAUAUCCACGCCGCACCCACUAUUUCGUAUAAAUUAUUUUUUAUAUAUAUUUUUAUGGUUGUUUUAGUGUAUUGAUAUGAAAAAUAAAUUUUUAAAGAAUAUAUAUUAUUUUAAUAUAUUUUCAAAUAAAAGUAUUUUUUAAAGUAUUUUUUAUCCAGAAAAAUAAUUAUUUUUGAUACCAUUAUCUCAAAACGAUUCAAAAACAAAUCAUUUAAAUAUUAAGAGGGUAUUUGAGAUCAUGGUAUAGAUUGUUUUUUAAAGUAUUUUUUGCUCGGAAAAACAUUAAAAUAAUAUAUUUUUUUAUUUUUUUAAAAUAUUUUUAAUAUCAGCACAUUAAAACGAUUUAAAAAUAUUUAAAAAAUUAUUUUAAAAUUAAUUAAUUAAUUUUUUCAGAAAUGUUUUUAAAACUUAAAAAACAAAUGUUAUCUAAAUACCCGUAACUCAGUUGGUGGCUUUCGUGUAGACUUGCAUGAUUAGGUUCUCAAUGCACAGCAAUUAUUUAAGAUGGAUUAUUAUACCAUUUCGGUUGUCGGUGUCUAGCAAUUAUUUCACAUGGAUUAUUAUUAUUAUUAUUAUGCCAUUUCGUGUAGGAUAGAUAAACCUAGGUGAUGCAUUCAAAAGGAAUAAAAUUGGUGUGAUAUCGCAAUCAUUGUCUGUUUUGUUUUUUUUUUAAAAAAAAAUUAAUUAUGUUUUUUUUAUCAACGUGGAUGUCCUAAUCAGCUUGCACGUACCUCGACUAAUUUCACGGGUCUUAAAAUUAAUAAUCAUGUAAACUUUAAAUGAUUCUGAGAUUUGUGGAAUUCAAACUAGUGAUUUUCAGGAAACAAACUCAGAAUUUGAUCAAUACCCAGAACCUGAAUAAAUGAGUUAUAUACUCAAGAUUUUAAUUAUGUGUUUUUUUUUUUUGAGUGAGCAGUGGUGGCAAAAAGGUGGCGUGUGGAGAUGAACACCAAUUUUCCCACCUUGUACUGUCUAUAUAACAAUUCAUAUCAUCUUAUGUUUUACAAGAAUUUUUUAUUUUUAUUUAAUCCAUUAUUUUGAUUGUUUGUUAUUAUUGUAUUUUUAAAAUUAAAUAUCAUUGUUUUUCAUUUUGAAAUAAUAUUUGAUUAUAAUCUACCUUGUUAUGAAAGCAAAUAACAUGAUUAUUUAAAAAUGAUAAGGAUUAGAGGGCACUUUUUGUCUAUAUCAAAAAAACAAAACAAUUGAUUACACUAUUUUUUAAAAGCAAGAAUAUAUAUUCUUAAAGUUACAAUAAUUGAUUGCUGAAUAUUGAUUUAACUGAUAUUACUUUUAAUUUAUAACACAACACCAACACACUUAAAAAAAAGCCCUUCAUUCUUCAUUUUUUUUUUUAAUUUGAAGUUUUUCUACUAGUAUUUAUUUGUGCAUUACAAUCUGUUUUUUAAAUUGUUUUUUAUCUAAAAAAAUAUUAAUUAAUAUUUUUUUGAUUUUUUUAUAGUUUUGAUGUUUGGAGUUAAAAAAAACUAAAAGUAUAUUUUUAAUUAAAAAAAUAUUUUUAAAACAUAUUGCAUCACUUUUGCAAACAUACACGUAAUCGGUUUGGUGUUCUUUACACGACAAUCACUUCAGUUCCUUUUCUUUUUGGGUCACUAUAAAUAUUCAUUCACCAUAGCUUGCGGCGACAAGUUAUGUUGACAUGCAUAAACUAGUAGAGCAUCAAAGUGCUUUGGGAACUGCUUCUCCAUUCUACAGCCACAAUGUCAUGGGUAGCCAACCAUCCCAGAAACCCAAUUGAAAUGUAUAAAUUCAAUAAAUUCUUGCUUCUAUAAAAUCUGGAAUGAUCUGAUGAGUUUAUUUGAAAUUUGAUACACCUGGAAUUUAAAUCGGUUUGAAUUUUAAAAAAUAAAAUAAAAUAAUGAAUUGAUUCAGUCUGAUAUAAUGAUACUCAUUAAAAAAUCUACGUUUUUAUUUUUAAAAAAAUUAUAUCUUUUUGAAUUUUGACCAGGGAUUAAUAACUAAGGAAAUUCUACAAGUUUUUUUUUAUAUAUAAAAAAUGAUGCUUAUUUCAUGUUUGCUGUUUACCGAUGUGGGCCCAACUGCCCAAGUUAUUUAUUUAUAGAGAGAAUUCUUUCUGCCUUGCUCGAAACUGGUGGAGGGGAAGACAAGGGAUUUUAUAUCUAUUUUUUAAAAUAUUUUUUAUUUAAAAAUAUUUUAAAAUAAUAUUAUUAUCAAAACAAUUUAAAAACAUUAAAAAAAUAAUUUCAAACAAAAAUUUAUUUAACUUUUUUUAAAAAAAUAGAUUUACCGCAGCUCAAAACAAACAAAAAUUUUAAACAAGUCUCGUUAGUUUACCUUCCUCAAAAGUCAAAAGCCCAAACACAUUUGUGAGAAGCAUCUUCCAUCC
RNAcentral lists this long non-coding RNA (5538 nucleotides) under Populus trichocarpa (black cottonwood). RNAcentral's name for it is "long non-coding RNA (PTRI_LNC001049)". The record is from RNAcentral. Lineage: Eukaryota; Viridiplantae; Streptophyta; Magnoliopsida; Malpighiales; Salicaceae.